Long non-coding RNA from Acinonyx jubatus (cheetah), 6710 nucleotides. RefSeq lists it as uncharacterized. Lineage: Eukaryota; Metazoa; Chordata; Mammalia; Carnivora; Felidae. The transcript is spliced from 3 exons. The record is from RefSeq and is a predicted model, not a curated record.
GGAAGGGGCAGAGCCCUCCCGAGGUUCUCCAUUGGCCAGGCCGAGUUGCCCAAACUUCCCCCCAUCGCCUUUCAUUGGGAAUUCCUGGCAUCCGUCAGCAGGGCCGCGGCGCAUAUAGGUGGACUGGGCGGCCCCCUCCCGGCGCGCACGCCCCCGCCCACUCCCCGGGUUCCCACUCCCCCGCCGCUCAUGUGACACCGGCUUAAGCCGAACGGGACCGAAGCCGGGGGACGCCUCCCCGAGCUGUGGGACCGAGCGGCAGCGCGCCCCGGAGCCCCAGUCGCCGCCUGGGACUGGACACGCUCCCCGCCCGCGGGAAGGCGGCGAACUCCGGCGCGCCGGCCUUACUGCUCCCCCGACGCGCUCCAAACCCCAGGCGGCCCGCGGCUGGAGAAGGGACGCGAGGAAACCCGGAAAGCGUUUCAUUUCUCCUUCCCGGGGUCCGGAGAGGUCAGCACCCAAGGAAAGGGGGCAGGGAAUGCUGGAAUGGAAAGGAAUUUCCCGGGAAUUUCUUGACCAUCCCUCCCGCCUCCGCCCGGCCCCGCCCGUCGCGACCGGGCAGACCCCUGCCCUACGAGUGAGAGCCCGUAUCUUGCCACUGAAUGGCACUCAGGAGCCUCAGAGCUUUCCCGCCUCGCCACCGGCUCCUUUCUGGCCCGACCUCGGUCUCAGGGGACCGCUCUGCCUAGGGGCUUCCCGGGCAGCGCCUACGUCCCCCAACUUUCUGGGAUCCGCUGUCGUUCCCCGCGGGCGGACGGGCCGGAUCUACCCUCGUAUACACCUGGGCAGCACCCUGAAAACUGGGACGGAGGGCCCUGAGUGGUUUACCCACUCCACGCCCCGCCCCCAACACACACACCUGACAAAUGGGGAGACCGAGGCUCAAAGAGUUGGGUUCGAAAAGGGAUUUAGCAGGUUUUCAGGACUCCACAGACUGACCUGUAACCUUAGGCCUGAUAAACAAAGCCUUAUUGUUAUUGGAGGAAGAAAGAGGGCGGGUUUGGCUAAACACCUCUCACUUCUUGGUGCCUGCCUGGGCUUCCUUCCCCAGGCCUAGUAAGGAGGGCCUAAACACACUGCCCCAGCUGUGACAGAUACUGGGAAGAGGCAGCCCUGACCUCCUGGUGGGUUCCUCUGAGGGAUCCCAGACCGAAGAACAGCAGGAGCAAGCAGACCUCCGACAGGUCAUGGGCAUGGUGGGGCUUUUUUUAUAUUGGUGCCCUGAGGAUUAGCUGAGCCAACUCAGGGACUCCAGCGUGUCACCCCAGAGGGGAGUGAAGGAGUUAGAAGAGUGCAUUGCCAGGUAGGGCCAUGAAUUAGGAUACGUGAGAGGCCACAGAGGGAAAAGGUGAAGUGCCUCCGACUCUCAGAACAGCUAGCUGAUGCUGCUGUAAGCCGCUAUCUGUUGCGCUGUCACUCCCUGUAUCAUUAGUCAACCUCACGUUUCUGCAAGUGUUACCGGUCAGCGGCCAGCACUGUGCCUGCCACCAGCCCCUGGCUGAGGAAGCACUGCCUCGGAGCCAGAGAGGGUAGAUUUAUAGACUAUUUUAUAACCAUUUCUGAACUAUGGCUCUAAACCUAACAUAGAGGAUAAUAUCGUGCUGUAGCCAUCCAUUCACUCAAUAAAUAUUUGCUGAGCACCGUCUGUGUGUCCGGGGAUGUGCUAGAUGUUAUGUAUAUACAGAUGAAAAAGACACAAUUCCUUCCCCAUGCAGCCCAGCCGAGACAGGUACAGAAACAAAAAUAUACUGCAAGGAGACAGCUCUGACCACUGAGUCCAGCAGGGGAAGGGAGGCUCCAGGUGGAGCUUUUGGGAGUAGGUGAAAUUCAAGGGAGCCUUGAAAACAAGAGUCAGCCAGAUGAAGAGUGUGGGAGGUUAUUCCAGGCAGAAGGAGCGGUGUGAGUUAGUACAUGGGGGCAGGAAACUGCAGGGUAUAAAAGGAAUGCCUAACAUUUCACUGCGGCUAGACUAGAAAUCCAAGGCCAGGAAGGGCAAGAGAUGGGGCUGUGGAGAUGGGCAGCGGCCAGACCACGUAGGCCCGGUGCACCAUGUGAAGUGUGGAUCUGUGGGGAAUGAGGCUGUACAGAAGCUUUGAGAACCAGGUGCAAAGCAAUUGCAAUAAUCCGGGUAGGAAUGGCCCCUUAGUCCAUUUGGGCCGCUGUAACAGAAUCCCGUAGACUGGGUGGCUUCGACAAGAACGUUUAUUUCUCAGGGUUCUGGAGGCUGGGAAGUCCAAGGUCAGAUUCGGUGUGGUGAGAGCCCACAUCCUGGCUCCUAGACAGCCAUCUUCUGUGUCCUCAAGUGGUGGUAGGAGCUCUGCCCUCAUGACACCCACUCAUCCUCCUAAUACCGUCGCUCUGGGGGGUGGGGGGGCAGGAUUUCAAAAUGUGAAUUUGGGCGGGACAUGAACUUCAGUCUCUUGCAAAUGGAGAAGAGUGGAUAGACAAGAAAUACCUAGAAAAUAAAACUGAGUGCCUCAGAGUUUCAGUGUGAGAACAGAGGAGUCUUUGCUGCUCUCGACCAAUGUCCCAUAUGGAAUAGACCAUGCAAUUUAUCUAUAUUAUCUUAGGUAAGUUCUACUAUGAGAUGAGGGCUGUCUCUGCCUUACAGAGAAAACCAACCAAAGCUCAGUGAGGUAGCUAACUAGCCCCAUAUACACGUAACACACAUACAUGUGACACCUAAACCCAUGCUUUGGCCCCAGUGUUUCUCAACCCUAGGAUAGUUUGACACCCUCCUUCCCAGGGGAUAUUUGGCAAUAUCUGGAGACACUUUCUAGUUGUCACAACUGGCGGGUCCCUGCUGGCAUGCAGUGGACAGAAGCUAAACAUCUGUUAACAAGCAGGACAAGACAGUCUCCCCACAACAAAGAAUGAUCCAGCCCGAAAUAUCAACAGUACUAGGGUUGAGAACCCCUGCCUUAAUUAUUGGUUUCUAGUUUGGAUGAUCUGGUGAAUGGUGGCAGUACGACCAACUGACAAAGAAUUUCAGAUUUGGGAAUGGAAUCCUGGAUUGAACGCACGGAGCUUGAAGGGCUCAGAGAAUGUUCAGAUUCGGUGGUCCGGCAAGCAGGUGACCGCAUGGCCCUGACCUCAGAGGAAACAGAUCUGAGAGUCAUCUGUGUACAGGUGGUAUUGACCCCAUGUGACCACCCAUGAAGAAUAACGAAUGCCUAAGCGGGACUGGGAAGGGACCACGGCUGAACCAGGAGAAGCAGCACUUGGAAGGAAAUAUAAAGAACAAGGUCCCCUGAUGGAGACAGAGAGGAAGGGGUCAGCAGGAACACAGAGAGCCUGGCCCACUCUGUGUCAUAAAAGUCAAAGGUACGAAGUUUCAAAGUGAGGGGAGUCAGCAACAUCAGAUAUAUCAGGAAAAUAAGGCUUAAUGAAGUAUUCUUUGCAUGUGAUCAUUGAAAAUUCACUGGUGUCCUUUGCCUGUGGAAUUUCAAUAAUGUGGCCAAAGCUGUGACUUUAAGAGACACUAUCCAGGAAUAAAGGACAACAGUGAAUAUAGAAGUCCCAGACAGCGGUCCAAAGGAGGAAUUUUUUUCUUUGAAUAGGAGAAACUUGAGGAAGGAUUCCGUUGAGAGGAAAGAACUGAAAAGGCAAGCAAGUGAAAGGGAAGAGGCCCCACAGGAUGGACUGAAGGUGUGGAAUUGACCGGUCUUUCCAUCCAGGACUCACUGGUGGCCAUCACACUGUGAUACUAGUUCCAUAUAACGCCAUCUCCCACAGAGAAAACAGAAUUACUAAACAUGCUGAUUUUUUACAGAUACUAAGGUGCGAUGACAAAGGAACCGAGAUCGAGGCCAGAAUUCUUGCCAUUCUUGCCAUUCACUGCCAUGGCAGGUGGCCAUGAACUAAGGCUCAAGAAGUUUGCUCAAGUCAUGGCAGGGCAGACAACAUUGAUGUCCCUUCAGGCACCAGUCAGGCCUUUCCCUGGAUGGGAGAUCUCCUGACUCAGCAGCAACAGCCUCUGAGACUAGCCGAAUCCACCACCAGCACUGCAGACAACUGUUUCUGCCCCAAUCUAGUCGGUAAUGAGUCACCCAGAAAGCCAUAAGUGCUUUGCUAUUGAAAGAACCUAGGUCUGGAGUAGAUGACCCAAUUUCCUUGGAAAGAAGAAAUCAUGUCUAUGAGUUCUGGGAGUACUUAUUAGGCACCUACUCUGUGCCAGGCAGAAUUCUAGGAGACCCACAGAAGAGCCCUAUUCCUCCCAAACCUUCUGGACUAGCUGCGGCCAAACAAUGGGUUUCCGCCUCUAGAAUUCAUCAUCCAAGAAUCCAUCAGAUACUUACUGACAGGCUGAGAGAAUAGAAAUGAAUUGGACUGCCACGUGAGGUGACAUAAACAAUGUAGAGUACCAGCCCAGUGCCUGACAUGCACCAGGCCACCUAGAUGCUCAGCAGUUUCUUUUUCUUACCCCACUAUGUGUCAUUCAUUGGCCGUGCAAGUCCCCAUGAGGAAACACAAAAAAAGCAGCAUCUGCAAGAUUCUGGAAAGUAAAAGCUCUGUGGACCUCCCAGCCCAGAGUUCUGGGGAUUUCCUUCAGCGUGUCCCAAAUCUCUAACCUUACACCCUAAUGGUCACGGGUUCCUUAUUGGCUCUUCCUGAGAGAACUAAGGACAGUAGUAUUUGCAGAAGGCUAAAAGGAGGGAGGGAAGUCACCAUGGUUUCUUGGGUUCCUGGCUCCAUAGGUCAGAGAUCUCAGUUGCAUUGCCGGUCCCAACAGCAGUCUAAUUUAUGCACGCCUUUGUCACUGAAUUCCCAUAGACACCAUUUAUGGUUGUCUCUCUAAUAUAUAUCAUAUAUUAUAGCGUUCUCUAUUGUGCUUCUUUGUCCCCGUGUUAUUUCCUAUUGUCACACUGUGGUUUCAUCCCUCUUCCUUCCCCCACACAGGGCCUAGAACACCAUAGGUGCUCCAGUUCAAUCUUUGCUGAAUGAAACAAUGCGUUAGGCAAAUUCCAUCUCGGUGCCUCAGUUUCCCUCAUCAACCUGUAGGAGGCCCUGGAAGUCCAGUCCUUUGCCAUAACCUAUGUAAGCCUUUCCUAAGUCUUCUGACCACCCAAGGAGCCAGUGCUGGAGACACGGAUGUGGCCAUCUAGCUCACAUGCCUCAGCCAGCAGCUCCCAGCCCUCACCAGGCCUACCUCUUCACCACCAGGGAAAGGUUGUUUGCCUCUAGGCCAGCUCCUGCCCCUCCCACUACACGCGGCUCAGGGGAGGAGAGAACACAGUUUCCCUCUAGCAGAAUCUCUAGUAAAGGACAGGCCUAGAGCACGCAGCAGUUUGUUUCCAUGCUCUGCCUCGUUCUCGGGUCUAGGUGCCAAGUGAUGGAACAUCUGGCCUCUCUGGUGCCCUCUUUUUCAUCUUUUGGCAUAAAUCUUUACCCCAAAUUCCAGAGGAAAUCCAGGCAGGACCCUCAGAAGUCUUCACUUCCGAUUAUUACCCUGAGACGGGUUCUGUGAGCAAGAGAUAGUCAUGCCUGCUAGCUGCCAAACCUGAGUCCUCCAAGGAGGGCCGCGAGCUCCCCCAGCUACCUCUAGUUCCCAGCAAAUCACAGCUGGGAAAUUCCUGUUGAGUAACACACGCCCCUGCCCCAUUUUAGGAGCUGGCAGGCAGAAUCCAGGCCGGGGGAACGCGUUGCAGGGAAGUCUGAUUAACCUCAGCUUCCCUCUCUUAGCAACUGGGUCCCACUGGUCUCCCACAGAAGCUGAGCCCCAGAGGCCUGCCCAGGGCGCUUCCUAGAAAUGAGAGAAAAAUCUUCUGGCAGCAAGGUAACCUCAGAAGAAGACUCGGGGCCAGGAGACCUGUGCCCCCCGGGCUUUGGUUUAUUCACCUGCAAAGUAAGAGGGCUGGACUCACCAGAUGGUGGUUAAGCCCUGAGCCCUACCCUAAGAACAUCUUUCUCAGGCUCCUUCUCUAUAUUGCGAUGACAAGUGGGUUUGAGUCCAAUCUUGAAUAUAAACAAAUUCCUCUAGGGGCGCCUGGGUGGCUCAAUUGGUUAAGCGUCUGACUCUUGAUUUUGGCUCAGGUCAUGGUCUCACGGUUGUGGGAUCCAUCGACUGAGCCCCCGCGUCGCGGUCUGCGCACUGAGUGUGGAGCCUGCUUGGGAUUCUCCUUCUCCCUCUCCCUCUGCCCCUCUCCUGCUCACUCUCCCUCUCUCUCUUUCUUUCAAAAUAAAUAAAUAAACAUUGACAAAAAAAAUAAGCAAGUUCCUCUAUAAAAGAUACAGAGUCUCACAAAGUUACUUAAUUUUUGUUUUAAUGUUCCUUAAAUAUAUACAAACGGAAAACUAGGUACACACUUGUUAAGGUUUUAGGUUUACAAUUAACAUAGAAUAAAAACAAGCUUACAAAUUCCCAUCUAAAAGAAACUAUAAAAGCAGUAAGACUCACCUUAGCCGCUUUAAUUUAAAUUUGACUGGUGCUAUUUGCCCAAGUGAAACUGCUCCUCCCAGCAUGACUGAAGUUCUGGCGGUGACAGAGUAGGUGGCCCUUUUGCCUUCAGGACGCCUGUCUUCCCGCAUGCCUUCCCGUGACUCUGUUCUACUGUCUCAACUGCUGCAACAGGGCAUCACUUAACCCUUGGAGGGAACACACCAUUAUGCAUUAAGUUCCCUUCUCCUGUGUUCUCAUUAGCAUUCCACAAUUAAAGACGUUUCCUUUUUUUUUUUUUUUUUAAGUUCUUUUUAAUCUUUUUGCCAACAGG